AUAUAAUGAAAAUAUAUUAUAUUUUUAAUUACAUUAAUAACUCUUGUAGGAACAGUGAGCAUGAAACAAAAAUAAUAGGAAGAUAUUGGGAGGCUUGCAUAAGACAGGGAGAACUUCAUUUUCUAUUAUUAGAGUAAAUGUAUAUUUAGAAUAUUACAAGUUUAUAUUAAAUAUAACUCUAAUGUAAAUUUUUAUAUAUAUCUGGGUUAUUUAUGUUAAUAGAUGGAAGCAGAAGGAUUAGAAAC
RNAcentral lists this long non-coding RNA (245 nucleotides) under Elaeis guineensis (African oil palm). Its description in RNAcentral is "long non-coding RNA (EGUI_LNC066558)". The record is from RNAcentral. Lineage: Eukaryota; Viridiplantae; Streptophyta; Magnoliopsida; Arecales; Arecaceae.